This 489-nucleotide ribosomal RNA is filed under the name uncultured archaeon. RNAcentral describes it as "bacterial SSU rRNA". It matches the Rfam family "Archaeal small subunit ribosomal RNA", at positions 858 to 1349 of the family's 1478-position model. The record is from RNAcentral.
GAGGAAUUGGCGGGGGAGCACCGCAACGGGGGGAGCGUGCGGUUUAAUUGGAUUCAACACCGGAAAACUCACCAAGGGCGACUAUUACAUGAAAGCCAGGCUAAUGACCUUGCUUGAUUUUUAGAGAGGUGGUGCAUGGCCGUCGUCAGUUCGUACCGUAAGGCGUUCUCUUAAGUGAGAUAACGAACGAGACCCUCAUCUAUAAUUGCUACCUCAUUCUCCGGAAUGGAGGCACAUUAUCGAGACCGCUGGCGCUAAGUCAGAGGAAGGAGAGGUCAACGGUAGGUCAGUAUGCCCCGAAUCUCUUGGGCUACACGCGCGCUACAAAGGGCGGGACAAUGGGCUACGACGCCGAAAGGCGAAGUCAAUCUCGAAACCCGUCCGUAGUUCGGAUUGAGGCUUGUAACUCAGCCCCAUGAAGCUGGAUUCCGUAGUAAUCGCGAAUCAAAAACUCGCGGUGGAUAUGCCCCUGCUCCUUGCACACACCUC